This 506-nucleotide ribosomal RNA is filed under the name uncultured bacterium. RNAcentral's name for it is "partial 16S ribosomal RNA". It matches the Rfam family "Bacterial small subunit ribosomal RNA", at positions 29 to 523 of the family's 1533-position model. The record is from RNAcentral.
AGUGAACGCUGGCGGUAGGCCUAACACAUGCAAGUCGAACGGCAGCACAGAGGAGCUCGCUCCUUGGGUGGCGAGUGGCGGACGGGUGAGGAAUACAUCGGAAUCUACUCUGUCGUGGGGGAUAACGUAGGGAAACUUACGCUAAUACCGCAUACGACCUACGGGUGAAAGCAGGGGACCUUCGGGCCUUGCGCGAUUGAAUGAGCCGAUGUCGGAUUAGCUAGUUGGCGGGGUAAAGGCCCACCAAGGCGACGAUCCGUAGCUGGUCUGAGAGGAUGAUCAGCCACACUGGACCUGAGACACGGUCCAGACUCCUACGGGAGGCAGCAGUGGGGAAUAUUGGACAAUGGGCGCAAGCCUGAUCCAGCCAUACCGCGUGGGUGAAGAAGGCCUUCGGGUUGUAAAGCCCUUUUGUUGGGAAAGAAAUCCAGCUGGCUAAUACCCGGUUGGGAUGACGGUACCCAAAGAAUAAGCACCGGCUAACUUCGUGCCAGCCGCCGCGGUAA